RNAcentral lists this ribosomal RNA (892 nucleotides) under Acinetobacter johnsonii. RNAcentral describes it as "bacterial SSU rRNA". It matches the Rfam family "Bacterial small subunit ribosomal RNA", at positions 48 to 934 of the family's 1533-position model. The record is from RNAcentral. Lineage: Bacteria; Pseudomonadati; Pseudomonadota; Gammaproteobacteria; Moraxellales; Moraxellaceae.
ACGUUACCUGCAGUCGAGCGGGCGAGGUUGCUUCGGUAACUGAGCUAGCGGCGGACGGGUGAGUAAUGCUUAGGAAUCUGCCUAUUAGUGGGGGACAACAUUCCGAAAGGAAUGCUAAUACCGCAUACGCCCUACGGGGGAAAGCAGGGGAUCUUCGGACCUUGCGCUAAUAGAUGAGCCUAAGUCAGAUUAGCUAGUUGGUGGGGUAAAGGCCUACCAAGGCGACGAUCUGUAGCGGGUCUGAGAGGAUGAUCCGCCACACUGGGACUGAGACACGGCCCAGACUCCUACGGGAGGCAGCAGUGGGGAAUAUUGGACAAUGGGCGGAAGCCUGAUCCAGCCAUGCCGCGUGUGUGAAGAAGGCCUUUUGGUUGUAAAGCACUUUAAGCGAGGAGGAGGCUACUUGGAUUAAUACUCUAGGAUAGUGGACGUUACUCGCAGAAUAAGCACCGGCUAACUCUGUGCCAGCAGCCGCGGUAAUACAGAGGGUGCGAGCGUUAAUCGGAUUUACUGGGCGUAAAGCGUGCGUAGGCGGCUUCUUAAGUCGGAUGUGAAAUCCCUGAGCUUAACUUAGGAAUUGCAUUCGAUACUGGGAAGCUAGAGUAUGGGAGAGGAUGGUAGAAUUCCAGGUGUAGCGGUGAAAUGCGUAGAGAUCUGGAGGAAUACCGAUGGCGAAGGCAGCCAUCUGGCCUAAUACUGACGCUGAGGUACGAAAGCAUGGGGAGCAAACAGGAUUAGAUACCCUGGUAGUCCAUGCCGUAAACGAUGUCUACUAGCCGUUGGGGCCUUUGAGGCUUUAGUGGCGCAGCUAACGCGAUAAGUAGACCGCCUGGGGGAGUACGGUCGCAAGACUAAAACUCAAAUGAAUUGACGGGGGCCCGCACAAGCGGUG